UUGAACGCUAGCGGGAUGCCUUACNCAUGCAAGUCGAACGGCAGCACGGACUUCGGUCUGGUGGCGAGUGGCGAACGGGUGAGUAAUGUAUCGGAACGUGCCCAGUNAGCGGGGGAUAACUACGCGAAAGCGUAGCUAAUACCGCAUACGCCCUACGGGGGGAAAGCAGGGGAUCGCAAGACCUUGCACUAUUGGAGCGGCCGAUAUCGGAUUAGCUAGUUGGUGGGGUAACGGCUCACCAAGGCGACGAUCCGUAGCUGGUUUGAGAGGACGACCAGCCACACUGGGACUGAGACACGGCCCAGACUCCUACGGGAGGCAGCAGUGGGGAAUUUUGGACAAUGGGGGAAACCCUGAUCCAGCCAUCCCGCGUGUGCGAUGAAGGCCUUCGGGUUGUAAAGCACUUUUGGCAAGGAAAGAAACUCGCGGGUUAUACCCGCGAAACUGACGGUACUGCAGAAUAAGCACCGGCUAACUACGUGCCACAGCGNGGGGG
Molecule: ribosomal RNA, 496 nt
Filed under: Achromobacter xylosoxidans
Lineage: Bacteria; Pseudomonadati; Pseudomonadota; Betaproteobacteria; Burkholderiales; Alcaligenaceae
Description: bacterial SSU rRNA
Rfam family: Bacterial small subunit ribosomal RNA
Source: RNAcentral